RNAcentral lists this ribosomal RNA (253 nucleotides) under uncultured bacterium. RNAcentral's name for it is "partial 16S ribosomal RNA". It matches the Rfam family "Bacterial small subunit ribosomal RNA", at positions 524 to 776 of the family's 1533-position model. The record is from RNAcentral.
UACGUAGGGUGCGAGCGUUAUCCGGAAUUAUUGGGCGUAAAGCGUCCGCAGGUGGCACCUCAAGUCUGCUGUCAAAGACCGGGGCUUAACCCCAGAAAGGCAGUGGAAACUGAAGUGCUAGAGUGCAGUAGGGGUAGAGGGAAUUCCCGGUGUAGCGGUGAAAUGCGUAGAGAUCGGGAAGAACAUCGGUGGCGAAAGCGCUCUGCUGGACUGCAACUGACACUCAGGGACGAAAGCUAGGGGAGCGAAUGGG